AUGAUCUUAAUUCUUUUGUUAAACGUGCCACUUAGAUGCCAUAUAUUUUCCUCUGCUCCAGCAAGUCAAUUAUCUGUAGGCUUACAGCUCAAAUCAGUAUUUAGCCAUGUUAUAAGAGAUGUAUCUAAACAGUACAGACAGCUUCCUCCUGUGUUGUGUUCUUCUUCCUCAGACCCAUUGAAACUGCAAAAGGAUCAUCUGAAGAUUGAACUUCAAACCCUUUCUCAUGCAAAUUGUGUAAUUCUCAAUGCUGUGUGCAGUUCUGAAACUGAGCUUGGGAAAACCUUCAUCCAAAGCCAAGUGCAAUCAUUACCACCAACCCAAGGGUUUUGUCUGAAUGAGCAUUUAAUGAUUGAAUCCAGUGGGAUUAUUCCUAUGAAAAAGCUAUUCUAGCCCUCAGGUCCACAAAAUUAAGCCUUCUGAGCAGAGGUUAGCAGGAAGACGAUGACCAUCCCAUCCCUUUGUUUUCUUGAGCAUUGACCUUGGAAGAAGGAGGCCUAGAAGACUCAAAUCUUCCAUUUUCUAUUUAGAUAUCUUCUUUACAGG
This 546-nucleotide long non-coding RNA is filed under the name Struthio camelus australis. RNAcentral's name for it is "lncRNA (ENSSCUG00000000644.1)". The record is from RNAcentral. Lineage: Eukaryota; Metazoa; Chordata; Aves; Struthioniformes; Struthionidae.